AGUGAACGCUGGCGGUAGGCCUAACACAUGCAAGUCGAACGGCAGCACAGGAGAGCUUGCUCUCUGGGUGGCGAGUGGCGGACGGGUGAGGAAUACAUCGGAAUCUACUCUGUCGUGGGGGAUCACGUAGGGAACAUUACUCUAAUACCGCAUACGACCUACGGGUUAAAGCAGGGGACCUUCGGGCCUUUCGCGACUGAAUCAGCCGAUGUCGGAUUAGCUAGUUGGCGGGGUAAAGGCCCACCAAGGCGACGAUCCGUAGCUGGUCUGAGAGGAUGAUCAGCCAAACUGGAACUGAGAUACGGUCCAGACUCCUACGGGAGGCAGCAGUGGGGAAUAUUGGACAAUGGGCGCAAGCCUGAUCCAGCCAUACCGCGUGGGUGAAGAAGGCCUUCGGGUUGUAAAGCCCUUUUGUUGGGAAAGAAAUCCAGCUGGCUAAUACCCGGUUGGGAUGACGGUACCCAAAGAAUAAGCACCGGCUAACUUCGUGCCAGCCGCCGCAGUAA
This 506-nucleotide ribosomal RNA is filed under the name uncultured bacterium. Its description in RNAcentral is "partial 16S ribosomal RNA". It matches the Rfam family "Bacterial small subunit ribosomal RNA", at positions 29 to 523 of the family's 1533-position model. The record is from RNAcentral.